UCGUAGAAGCAAAGACAGAAGAGAUUCUGAAAAGGACAGAAAGGAAAGGAGGAGGGAAGACCGAGACGAGCGUGACAAGGAGAGAAGCAAAGAAAAACCUAGAGAUAGGGACAAGGAUAGGAAGGAAAAGGAACCAGAGAGAGAUAGGGAAAUUGAGAAGGAGAGGGGAAAGGAUAAAAGUAGAGACAGGGAAACUGAGAAGGAGAGGGGAAAGGAUAAGAGUAGAGACAGGGAAAAGGAAAGAGACAAGACCAGAGACAAGGAAAGGGAGAGAGGGAGAGAGAAACAUAAGGAUAGAGAGAAAGAAAGGGAAAGCGAGAAGGAUAGGGAAAGAGAUAAGGCAAGAGAGAAAAGUAGGGAGAAGGGGAGGGAGAUGGAAUUAGAUAAAGAGAGGUCAAGAGAGAGAGAUCGAG
Molecule: long non-coding RNA, 413 nt
Filed under: Citrus sinensis (sweet orange)
Lineage: Eukaryota; Viridiplantae; Streptophyta; Magnoliopsida; Sapindales; Rutaceae
Description: long non-coding RNA (CSIN_LNC001125)
Source: RNAcentral